UACGUAGGUCGCAAGCGUUGUCCGGAUUUACUGGGCGUAAAGAGCGCGCAGGCGGCUGGUCAAGUCCGAUGUGAAAUCUCCCGGCUCAACUGGGAAACUGCAUCGGAAACUGAUCGGCCUGAAGAUGGGAGAGGGUAGUGGAAUUCCCGGUGUAGUGGUGAAAUGCGUAGAUAUCGGGAGGAACACCAGUGGCGAAGGCGACUACCUGGCCCAUUCUUGACGCUGAGGCGCGAAAGCUAGGGGAGCGAACGGG
RNAcentral lists this ribosomal RNA (253 nucleotides) under uncultured bacterium. Its description in RNAcentral is "partial 16S ribosomal RNA". It matches the Rfam family "Bacterial small subunit ribosomal RNA", at positions 524 to 776 of the family's 1533-position model. The record is from RNAcentral.